This is a long non-coding RNA of Rosa chinensis, 712 nucleotides long. RefSeq lists it as uncharacterized. Lineage: Eukaryota; Viridiplantae; Streptophyta; Magnoliopsida; Rosales; Rosaceae. The transcript has 3 exons. The record is from RefSeq and is a predicted model, not a curated record.
UUUGGUUGCCAAGAUGAGCAGAAGCACCCUCUUCUCUCAUCUGUUUAUCAGGUAUAAUCUUCAAACUCUAUCAUUUUCUAGGUUGUAUUUCAUAUAGAUUUGGAUAUUGAAGGAAUUUUGAAUGAAGACUUGAUUGUGCAACAGAUUGGAACCUAAUAAUGAGUAGCUUGAUACUUGAGAUUGUUAGUUAAUCAAGGCAUGGACCCAACAAUGUUUGAAGCAACGACUAGAGCAAUAUUCUGAAAGUGAUGUUUGAGAGGUAAUUAUUUUUAUCAAAUAAGCAGUUUCUGAAAUGGGCUCCCAAGAAAUUAAAAACCUUUGAAUGUAAUUUUGAAAGUAGGAGAAACAUUUUAACAUGUGUUCUAUAUCUAUCCUUGGUACAGAUGAUAUAUCCUCGUUUGAGAGGUAGACUACAUGUCAUACAUCCUUUACAUGGCCUGGUGAGUGAUGUCGGGUAUAAUUUUUUCUUUUCUCUGUUUUUUUUUUUUUUUUUUGGUUAGUGGAUUUUUUAACAGAUGAAUCUCAGGAUAAUGAUCUAUGAUUUAAGAGGUGGAAUUUAAAUGGGUAUUGUUGCAUUUACAGUAUUGUGAGCCUUGACAUGUUUACCUUUUGAAACAAAACUAAAGUUUACCUUCUGCGCAAUUUCACAAAGAGAAGACAAGCUGCAAUCGUGUAUACUUACGUGUGUGUGUCCUUUAUAUUCCAUUAAUAU